Pelobates cultripes (western spadefoot toad) is the source of this 244-nucleotide non-coding RNA. The record is from the annotation of a GenBank genome assembly. Lineage: Eukaryota; Metazoa; Chordata; Amphibia; Anura; Pelobatidae.
GUAAUAUUAGUUGUGCAGAUUAAAAGUACAAAACGUUGAUCUUUAAACAUUAACAUUUGGUCCAAGUGCCUCUUCUGAUAGGAAUAGUAAAUGAAUGUUCUGUGAAUGAAUUUGUGAAGUGGGGGUGGAGAGGAGAUCGGACGCAAGACAUUGUUACUACCAGAUCUCUUAGUGACAUUGUUAUACAAAGCAAAGGUUCCAACCACAGUUUACAAAAAUAAAAAUGUGCAUUUAUUAUAAAAAA